UGGAUACCGUCGGUGUCGGAGUGGAGAAGCAAAAACAAGGAGGACGUUGAAACCAGAUUCACAUGGCCCCCUCUCCUUCCUCCCUACUUUCAAGUCCCAAGUGUGAAGCUGCCAUAAUUUUCGCUCUAAUUAAAAAAAAAGUAAAAUAAUAAUUAUAAUAUUUAGUUUACUUUUCUGCAAAUUGAAGGGACGCACGAUUUUUAGUGGCAAUCUCACAGCUCUCUCUUCUUCCUUUCCCUCCAGAUCUAAAUCUAAAAAUAUAAAAAAUCUCUACUUUUUCGGAAAAAUUGUUCAUCAUUCUUCAUUGUUCCCAGAAGA
RNAcentral lists this long non-coding RNA (318 nucleotides) under Brassica rapa (field mustard). RNAcentral describes it as "long non-coding RNA (BRAP_LNC007349)". Lineage: Eukaryota; Viridiplantae; Streptophyta; Magnoliopsida; Brassicales; Brassicaceae. The record is from RNAcentral.